This is a long non-coding RNA of Neogale vison (American mink), 897 nucleotides long. RefSeq lists it as uncharacterized. The transcript has 2 exons. NCBI's taxonomy places the organism in Eukaryota, Metazoa, Chordata, Mammalia, Carnivora, Mustelidae. The record is from RefSeq and is a predicted model, not a curated record.
GGGAGGGGUAAGACCUGGCGGCGGCACCGGGACCCCCGCCCGGCUCGGGGCCCGAGUGGGGUUCUGUCGGGACUCGGGCGCUGAACGCCUUCCGGGAGCGGCCGCCCCUCCCCCUGGGAGUGGUUGGGAGGAAGCAAGGGCCGUCUCGGGGCUGGGGCUGUCGGCGAAGUUUCGGACCCCAUUCACGGUGCGCGUGAAGCCCCGCGAAGCCCGCGUGGCCCUGGCGGCUCGUGUCGGGAGUGGACCGGGCGGGGGAGGAGGCGCUCGGGAACUACCACGGGGGGCGCUGUGCCGGCGCUCUGCGGCCUCCGGGGCCCCUCCGCUGGGAGGCGAACGGAAAAAAGUCAGUGGUCUCACGGACUCCACAGUGUGUGGUCUCCCUGCUAGGGGACGCUGCCCAGGGCAGUUCCCUCCACGGACAGGACCGACCGUGCAGCCCGAUUUAAAAUGGCAGCAGAGUAUCUCCGGGAAAGUGAUAAGCGUGGAGGCACAAGUAAGUGUGUGCCUGACGUUGCAAUCCUAAAGUGAAAACCAUGGUGGGAACCCAGGUUGAAGGUGAUCAAACUGAACGGCCCGAGAAGGAAAAAUUAUCAACAAGUAUGUUGUAGUUACAGAUGCAGCAGGAAGAAACUUCCUUAUGGAACAUUAUAGAAAUACUGAGCCAAGGCAAACAGAUUCCAACAGAGCAACCACUCAUGAAGAAUCCAGGAUGCAAACCCAGUCCCUUUCUCACUAGAAGCUACACUUCGGGCAUUUGAAAUAAAAACUUCUACUUAAAAAAAUAAUUUAUAAAGACUUUGGGGAUGGAGAGAGAGGGAAUUAAAAAGGGGAAAUGAGCAUAAAAGAGAUGACAAGUAAAUGCCCCAAAAUAAAGCUUAACAAUAUUAAAAUAAGCAA